Molecule: non-coding RNA, 446 nt
Organism: Oryza sativa Japonica Group (Japanese rice)
Lineage: Eukaryota; Viridiplantae; Streptophyta; Magnoliopsida; Poales; Poaceae
Source: RefSeq, a predicted model, not a curated record
UCGCUGACACUUUUUCCAAACAAGGCGUAGUUGUAAUCGUUCCCUCCAAUCUCCCCAAUCAAAACCAGAGAAGACUGGAGCCUCUUGCGUAUAUCUGCAGACACAAAUGUCACGUGUAAAUAUUGUCGCACAUGACACAGUGCUGAAGGUGGACUUCAUGAAGUCCUUGAACCACCUAAGCUGCACAUUAAGGGAGUUAGAAGAGAAAGGCGCGAAGAAUCUCCCGUUGAACUGAUCGGUAGGGUCCAUUGCAGUGGCUCCAGCGACGGCGAAGUUUACUCCAUGGUCGAAGCUCUUGUUCUUGCCCAGAUAUCUUGAAAACUAAUGCAUCAGUUCAGAGUUCUGACUUCAGAAAGAUGAGCAAUUCAGUCAGUAUUCAGAGUUUCAGACAUUCAGUAGUUAACUGUGCAUACCGAGGAAAUCGAUCAUGAGGAGGCCAUCAGAGC